RNAcentral lists this non-coding RNA (25 nucleotides) under Cricetulus griseus (Chinese hamster). The record is from RNAcentral. Lineage: Eukaryota; Metazoa; Chordata; Mammalia; Rodentia; Cricetidae.
ACCCAAAGCUGAAAUUCUUAUUAAA